Long non-coding RNA from Nicotiana attenuata, 931 nucleotides. RefSeq lists it as uncharacterized. The transcript is spliced from 2 exons. NCBI's taxonomy places the organism in Eukaryota, Viridiplantae, Streptophyta, Magnoliopsida, Solanales, Solanaceae. The record is from RefSeq and is a predicted model, not a curated record.
UUUAUUCUAUUUCAAAGUUGUAUGAAAAAAGAAGCGGCAAUGUUCCCUCCUUUUCUUUUUUGUGUUCUCAAGUCCCUCUUUUUAGUUGAGUAGUGCCGCCUCCCAUUUCUCAAUUCUCCUCCAUUUCUCUCUUAAUUCUUUGUGACAUUCAUUUCUCCAUCAAAUUAUUGCAACAGUUAGAUCUACUAUAUUGCUUCCAUUAAUAUCUUAUUUCUUUCUCUUUCGCACACAUAGAUCCUCUUAUUCAAUAAUGCUUAAUUUUCUCCGAAAUCUUUUAUUGAUUUAAUAGCAUAAAUGAUCAAAUCUGCGUGAUGGGCAUUUUAAGACGCAAAGCCGCUUCUGGCGCCUCCUUUGCUUUGAUACAAAUCCUCAAGCUAAGUUAAGAAAUAUUAUUUCUACUUCAAUUUUUUUUCUGUUGCGUCUCUCAUACGGAAUUCUUUUUCUUUCAAUUGUAGGGCAAUUAAAAUUUGGGUUCUCCAGAUGAUAUAUUACGUGUAUGUAUUUGUGGGUUCUUAUUGAUUUAAUUCUAUUGUAGAGUCAAAGAAAAAUUAAUAUUUAUUGUCUAACUUCGAGUAAGCAUCUUUCUACCAGUACUAAUUUGUCAUUCUAUUAUUUGCUUCACUAAUUAAAAUAUGAUAUGUCAUUUUUUGGCUAAAUCUUGUUCAUCAAAAAGUAUGUACUAAAAUUGUUUUUUUCUUCAACAGGUACAUGAAAGUGUAAAUUUAUUCAAGAGCAACUUUACCAGACAAGUGGUUACAUUAGCGUUUGAGGAAGCAGUUACUAAAAUUAUUUGUAUUUCGAUUCGACCUCAUGUUGUUGAAUAAAUUUUAUUUUGUUUCGGUGUUUUAGUUGACGGAGUUUGUAAUGAAUAUUAUCUCAAUGUAGUAUUAGUUCUUAAUUAUGUGAUCGUCGGUGAAAAUUUUUGUUGUUA